This 1123-nucleotide long non-coding RNA is filed under the name Astyanax mexicanus (Mexican tetra). RNAcentral describes it as "lncRNA (ENSAMXG00005017411.1)". Lineage: Eukaryota; Metazoa; Chordata; Actinopteri; Characiformes; Acestrorhamphidae. The record is from RNAcentral.
CAGGGUUAGCCUGAGAGCUAACAGUGCUAAUGCAGUAACUAUAACAGCAGGGUUAGCCUGAGAGCUAACAGUGCUAAUGCAGUAACUAUAACAUCAGGGUUAGCCUGAGAGCUAACUUAAGCUAGCUAGGUUAGUAUGUUGUUUUGACCAAGUUUAGCACAGCUAGCUGCUAAUCUACAGCCUCCAAAGGUUAUUUAACUAGGUUAACUAACGCUAACUAUAACUGAUUAACUGAAUAGGUAACCUAGCUAACAUGCUAAUUCACACACAUGUAAUUUUAGCUCUAUAGCUAGCUUGGGCUAAGCUAGGUUAAGUGUUAUGAAUUCCUAGCCAAGCACUUUGUAGAAUACGUGAAUAUUUAGUAGUAAUAAGGAGUAUUAUUUCUAAUUCUAGGAUUUUUCCCCUGUUAGACUAGUUAAGUCUAGACCUUUGACAGAUACUAGAAUUAUCUGUAUUAUUAUCUGUAUUUUUGAGCACAUUUGUGAUGAAUGCCCCUUUGUUCAGCUAUAGUAAACACACUGUGGGAGCUAGUACUAUUGUUUCAGCUUAAACUAAAGAGUAAAAAGACCCUUUUCUGACCAGAACCACAGUUUAGAGUUUAACAUUGUGCUCUGUGUUGUUAUUGAGGUUCAUUUUGUGCUAUAAUGUACUAUACUGUUCCAGCCACUCUCUGUUUUUCCUGCAUGUUUACAGUAUUGUAUCUCUCCUUGUAGGGAAGGGGAUCUCUGAGCUGUCAAACCUUCCUCCACAUAAAGGACAGACCUUACUUUUAAAGGCCUUAAAACUACAAUUAACUUCAUAUAUCAGACUGAAUGACGGACAGAGAGAUGUCGGAAGUGAAGGCAGAAGACUCUGCCAAUGGGGUGAUGGCAGCAAAUGGUGGUGGUGUUGUAUACGAGGACAGAGAGGUCAAUGAGAAUGCCAGGUACUGCCAUAUAUUUUUUUGACUGCUUUAUUAUGAAAAUCAUGCAACACAUGAAGUUUGGAGGUGUGUAGUGAUGAACUCUGAAGCUACAUGUAGUUUGGAGCUGUGUAGUGAUGAACUCUGAAGCUACAUGAAGUUUGGAGGUGUGUAGUGAUUGAUGCUGAAGCUACAUGAAGUUUGGACUGGAGGUGCGUAAUA